Molecule: ribosomal RNA, 469 nt
Filed under: uncultured bacterium
Lineage: Bacteria
Description: partial 16S ribosomal RNA
Rfam family: Bacterial small subunit ribosomal RNA
Source: RNAcentral
GACGAACGCUGGCGGCGUGCUUAACACAUGCAAGUCGAACGGAAAGGCCCUGCUUUUGUGGGGUGCUCGAGUGGCGAACGGGUGAGUAACACGUGAGUAACCUGCCCUUGACUUUGGGAUAACUUCAGGAAACUGGGGCUAAUACCGGAUAGGAGCUCCUGCUGCAUGGUGGGGGUUGGAAAGUUUCGGCGGUUGGGGAUGGACUCGCGGCUUAUCAGCUUGUUGGUGGGGUAGUGGCUUACCAAGGCUUUGACGGGUAGCCGGCCUGAGAGGGUGACCGGCCACAUUGGGACUGAGAUACGGCCCAGACUCCGACGGGAGGCAGCAGUGGGGAAUAUUGCACAAUGGGUGGAAGCCUGAUGCAGCAACGCCGUGUGCGGGAUGACGGCCUUGGGGUUGUAAUCCGCUUUCGCUCAUGACGAAGCUUUGUGUGACGGUAGUGGGUAAAGAAGCACCGGCUAACUACGUG